UAGAAGAAAGUGUAUUGGAAGCACAAAGAGUUUUGAUCUCUUUAGGUUGGGUUCAAAUCCCUUUUUUCUAA
RNAcentral lists this transfer RNA (71 nucleotides) under Xenurolebias myersi. RNAcentral describes it as "tRNA-Gln". It matches the Rfam family "tRNA". From Rfam's summary of the family: Transfer RNA (tRNA) molecules are approximately 80 nucleotides in length. Their secondary structure includes four short double-helical elements and three loops (D, anti-codon, and T loops). Further hydrogen bonds mediate the characteristic L-shaped molecular structure. tRNAs have two regions of fundamental functional importance: the anti-codon, which is responsible for specific mRNA codon recognition, and the 3' end, to which the tRNAs corresponding amino acid is attached (by aminoacyl-tRNA synthetases). tRNAs cope with the degeneracy of the genetic code in two manners: having more than one tRNA (with a specific anti-codon) for a particular amino acid; and 'wobble' base-pairing, i.e. permitting non-standard base-pairing at the 3rd anti-codon position. Lineage: Eukaryota; Metazoa; Chordata; Actinopteri; Cyprinodontiformes; Rivulidae. The record is from RNAcentral.